This 500-nucleotide ribosomal RNA is filed under the name uncultured bacterium. RNAcentral describes it as "partial 16S ribosomal RNA". It matches the Rfam family "Bacterial small subunit ribosomal RNA", at positions 30 to 523 of the family's 1533-position model. The record is from RNAcentral.
AUUGAACGCUGGCGGCAUGCUUUACACAUGCAAGUCGAACGGUAACAGGGUGCUUGCACCGCUGACGAGUGGCGAACGGGUGAGUAAUGCGUAGGAGAGUGCCGAGUAGUGGGGGAUAAAGCAGCGCAAGUUGUGCUAAUACCGAACACGUACCGAUGCAGAAAGUGGGGGACGUUCGGGCCUGACGCUAUCCGAGCGGGCGGCGUCUGAUUAGCUAGUAGGUGGGGUAAAGGCUCACCUAGGCGACGAUCAGUAGCGGGUCUGAGAGGAUGAUCCGCCACACUGGGACUGAGACACGGCCCAGACUCCUACGGGAGGCAGCAGUGGGGAAUUUUGGACAAUGGGCGAAAGCCUGAUCCAGCCAUGCCGCGUGUCUGAAGAAGGCCUUCGGGUUGUAAAGGACUUUUGUCAGGGAGGAAAUCCCUAGUGCUAAUAACACUGUGGGAUGACAGUACCUGAAGAAUAAGCACCGGCUAACUACGUGCCAGCAGCCGCUGUAA